GGGCGAGUGGCGGAAUGGCAGACGCGAUGGACUCAAAAUCCAUUGAUCGCAAGGUCAUGAGGGUUCGACUCCCUCCUCGCCCAUCA
RNAcentral lists this transfer RNA (86 nucleotides) under Candidatus Harrisonbacteria bacterium RIFCSPHIGHO2_02_FULL_40_20. RNAcentral's name for it is "tRNA-Leu". It matches the Rfam family "tRNA". Rfam says of the family: Transfer RNA (tRNA) molecules are approximately 80 nucleotides in length. Their secondary structure includes four short double-helical elements and three loops (D, anti-codon, and T loops). The record is from RNAcentral. Lineage: Bacteria; Candidatus Harrisoniibacteriota. RNAcentral also lists the same sequence under 1 other name.